GACGAACGCUGGCGGCGUGCUUAACACAUGCAAGUCGAACGGAAAGGCCCUGCUUUUGUGGGGUGCUCGAGUGGCGAACGGGUGAGUAACACGUGAGUAACCUGCCCUUGACUUUGGGAUAACUUCAGGAAACUGGGGCUAAUACCGGAUAGGAGCUCCUGCUGCAUGGUGGGGGUUGGAAAGUUUCGGCGGUUGGGGAUGGACUCGCGGCUUAUCAGCUUGUUGGUGGGGUAGUGGCUUACCAAGGCUUUGACGGGUAGCCGGCCUGAGAGGGUGACCGGCCACAUUGGGCCUGAGAUACGGCCCAGACUACUACGGGAGGCAGCAGUGGGGAAUAUUGCACAAUGGGCGGAAGCCUGAUGCAGCAACGCCGCGUGCGGGAUGACGGCCUUCGGGUUGUAAACCGCUUUCGCCUGUGACGAAGCGUGAGUGACGGUAAUGGGUAAAGAAGCACCGGCUAACUACGUG
RNAcentral lists this ribosomal RNA (468 nucleotides) under uncultured bacterium. RNAcentral describes it as "partial 16S ribosomal RNA". It matches the Rfam family "Bacterial small subunit ribosomal RNA", at positions 28 to 507 of the family's 1533-position model. The record is from RNAcentral.